GGUGCCAAAAUGGCGGUUGGAAGGUAGUCGCAACUCACAACAUCAUUGGAUUUUCCUGGAAGAAGUCUGAAAGUUUCUGGAAAUCAUCCCGCUUUAGCCUGCUCCCAUGGCCGCUAUCAUCAAUCCCCUCCAACUCCUCUUUUGGCUAUCGAGCUCUUUGAUUCUCCAUACAUCUAGCUCUUAUCCAGGUUCUUCUAGUUCCAUUAUUGACCCUGCUAAAGUCAAACAGGUUUCAUGGAAGCCAAGGGCAUUUGUGUACGAAGGUUUUCUUACGGACUUGGAAUGCGAUCACCUGAUCUCUCUGGCGAAAUCAGAGCUGAAGAGAUCAGCAGUGGCGGAUAAUGUUAGUGGAAAGAGUAAGCUCAGCCAAGUUCGAACCAGUUCUGGGAUGUUUAUCUCUAAAGGAAAGGAUCCAAUCGUUGCAGGUAUAGAGGACAAAAUUGCAACAUGGACCUUUCUUCCAAAAGAAAAUGGGGAAGACAUUCAAGUUUUAAGAUAUGAGCAUGGGCAAAAAUAUGAUCCACACUAUGAUUACUUUGUUGACAAGGUUAAUAUUGCUCGUGGUGGACAUCGCUCGGCAACUGUGCUCAUGUAUCUUACUGAUGUGGUAAAAGGCGGAGAAACUGUGUUUCCCUCUGCAGAGGUUUUCACUAAUUCCUCCCUUUUUUUUUUCCAAUACACAAUUGCAUUGUUUCAUAUGUAGUUUCAGCUUCUUUUCCUUUCCUAAAAUCAGUGUUUCACAGUGGGUGAGCAAUUUGGUAUAGUUUCCUUAUUUGGUAUUCUCUCCAAGGGCUUCCUAGGUUCAUCAGUGUGUAUGACCGUGUUGAUAGAUCUGUUUGACAAGCUGUAUCAUUAUGUUUGCUCUACCUUAUAAUCAUUUAUAAACAUAUGUUGACUCAGAAACCAUUGAAAACAGUCCACAACUAGAAUUAUCUCAGGAUUUGAAAACUUUUGAGUGUGAAUAUUUGGCUUGACUUUUCAAAUAGCCAGUUAAUGAUCAAACUGGAGAUGGUACUUGUGGGUUGGGGUGAGGAGGGGGAGGAGGUAUUAAAUACUAGGUUGUUUCCUGUAGUUAGACUAGAGGGGACAUCUUUUAAUAUAACAAACAAUUUGAAACAGGAACCUCCUCGACGAAAAGCUACUGUAAGUGAUGAAGAACUCUCUGAAUGUGCAAAGAAAGGAAUUGCAGGUUAGCUACUUUUGACAGAUUACAAAUGCUUUUAUUAAAUUUGCAUUCUCUCAGUUGCAAAAUGCCCAGAGUUAACGUGUUUUUGGGGUCUUCUUAUCCUGUCUUUGGAAACUCUUAGUGAAACCACGAAGAGGUGAUGCCCUUCUUUUCUUUAGUCUCCAUCCUAACGCCAUUCCAGACCCAAGCAGUCUUCAUGCUGGAUGCCCAGUGAUUGAAGGUGAGAAAUGGUCUGCCACAAAGUGGAUUCAUGUGGACUCAUUUAGCAAGAACUUGGAAGCUGGUGGGAACUGCACAGAUCUGAAUGAGGGUUGUGAUAGGUGGGCUGCCCUUGGGGAAUGCACCAAAAACCCAGAGUACAUGGUAGGGUCUCCAGACCUUCCUGGAUACUGUAGGAGGAGUUGCAAGGUAUGCUAGAAUAUUACCAUAUGCUUUCCACACGGAUCAUCCUUUGUAGGUUUACAUUGCACUAAAAGAUGAUUUCUGUUUUGGGGGAUUGUAUUUAUUAAAUAUUUGUUUUUAAAAUUGACAAUCUCUUAAACAUUGCUGACUUCUGUAUUUUGUAUCUUGCAUUUUAACCCAGUUGUAAUAAAUCUUUUUUAAAAUGGUUUUUGAAGUUG
This 1806-nucleotide unclassified non-coding RNA is filed under the name Hevea brasiliensis (rubber tree). The record is from RNAcentral. Lineage: Eukaryota; Viridiplantae; Streptophyta; Magnoliopsida; Malpighiales; Euphorbiaceae.